This 90-nucleotide transfer RNA is filed under the name Deltaproteobacteria bacterium. Its description in RNAcentral is "tRNA-Ser". It matches the Rfam family "tRNA". From Rfam's summary of the family: Transfer RNA (tRNA) molecules are approximately 80 nucleotides in length. Their secondary structure includes four short double-helical elements and three loops (D, anti-codon, and T loops). Lineage: Bacteria; Pseudomonadati; Myxococcota; Myxococcia. The record is from RNAcentral.
GGAGGCGUGACCGAGUGGCCGAAGGUACAUGCUUGCUAAGCAUGCGUAGGAGCAAUCUUACCAAGGGUUCAAAUCCCUUCGCCUCCGCCA